GCUUGGGAGAUUUGUAUAGUGUUGCUUGGAUGGAGGACAGGUAUCUUCAUGUUGUUCCUUUUCCAUACUUGAUUUCUGCUUCAUUGAUUAUCAUGUUGACUUGUGCUCAUUUUCUGCAGUGAAACUCACAAUUUGAAGAAAGAAACUGUAAAGCAACAAUAUCGAGCGGUAUGAUCAUAUGCUAAGUCAAAACUUAAUUGGGAAUUAGAUACUAAAUCUGUCUUGAUUAGUUCCUGAGUUAGGUGUUGGUAGUGCAGGUAAAAGCUCGAACAUCGAAUUAUAAUACUUACAGUGUUGGAUCCCAUGUGAUGGAAUAUGGAAAUAAAACUCUCAAAGGAGAGAAGCUUUAUUUAUAUCAAGGCUUUGAUCCUGCCAGUCUCAACUUUCCCCCAAACCAUUUGAGUCUACCCAUGGGAGUUAUUAACCAAAGAGACGCUGAUCUUCUCUUCUUAUGGCAUAUGGUAUAGAUCUACCUUCUUUCUUCUUUUUCACAUUUCUCUCAGUUACGUUCUCAGUCUAAAAUUUUUAAUUGAUUAUUGCAUUGCAUGAGACUGGACAUGCCCAUUUUGAAUUGGUUAAUUAUAUGUGAAAUCGCAGUAUAAAAAUUCAGAUAACAAGGCAGAGAUUCUGAAGGAGAUUAUAGAGAUAAUAAGGCACAGAAAGCAUAUAGAUGGGAGCAUUGAGUUAAUUGGGUCUAUUUUGUACGGACCAACAAAGGCUUCUUCAACCCUUACUUCUGUUAGAGCUCCCGGUUUACCCUUGGUUGAUGACUGGCAAUGCCUAAAAUCGACGGUAACAUGCUGUUUUUCAUUAUGUUAUUUGGUUAUCUUUAGCUGUAUUAUUGACUUUCGAUUUGGUUGUAGGUUCGGACAUUUGAAACGUAUUGUGGGUCACUGACUCAAUAUGGCAUGAAACACAUGCGAGCAUUUGCAAAUAUUUGCAACAGCGGAGUUCCUCAGGCAUCGGUGGAGGAAGCUUGUGCUGCUGCCUGUAGGGGUUAUGAGCUGAGUCAAUGGCACCCCGUGAACAAAGAUUAUAGUGCUUGAGUCAAACCAAUAUAUUAUUGAUGUGACAACUUAGUAACAUUAUGCAUAUUACAGUACUACUUUUUUCUUCUCUCCUGGUGUGUUCUCUUUUACUUUUCAUUUUUGUUUUUUUUUUUUCGGUGGUUUAGGAUACAUAUAGCAAGAAGAAUGUAUCAGGUUGAUAUAGUCUUUUAAUAGAAAUGGUAUGGUUGGACAUUUGUGUUUUUUUUUUCUUUCUUUGGUUCUACGAAAACAGGGAAACAUGGACUGGUCCAUUAGAAUCCCAAGUACUAUUUUUUGUUUUUUAAAAAUGUUGAGAAAAAAUUAUUUAAUAUCAAACACUCAAAUAUGUAGAGAAAAAUAUUCGAAGAAAAAGGUACAAAUUUUUGGCAGGUGGGAUCGAAGUUUCUAUCAAAUGAGUUGUUAAAUCGUGGAUGUUAGUGGGGAAUCUCUAAAAAUACAUUACAAGACAAUCAGUGAUUUGGUUAUUGCACAUAUUUCCAACUCCAUUCUACGGCCUGAAUCAAAUCUCUCCCGGUUACCGUACAAGCAAUAUUUGUUAAAAAUGCAAAAAUAUAAAAUUUAAGAUAAUUAAAAAGAUAUAUUAAAAAUAUAUAUAUAUUAUAUUUAAUCUGAAUGAAAUAUUAUAAGAUAAUAUAAAAAAUUUCUAUUAUAAGUAAUUAUCUAUUUAUUUAUUUAAUUAUUAUUAAAAUUUGUCAUCUAAUUUUAAUUUUUUAUUAUUUUGUUUUAAUUUAAGAUAGUUUAUUAUUUUUUUAACUAAUAAUUUAAUAAAAUAAAUUAAUUCUAACAAUUUAUUCAUAUAAUUUAUUCGACAUGCCAAUCAUAUUUUGGUUGUAUAUGAAUUUUUUUUUUGUCAACACUGUUGUGAAAAUAUCAGUCAACUACUGUUCUACAAAAGCUGAAUUGUAUCUCUUGGUGCUCGACUGCUUCUUGAAUGUAAUGAUACUUGAUAGUAUUAUGUUUGGUUCUAUCAUAACUAACUCGAUUUUUAUUAAUUACAAUUGUUGUUGUAUUGUCACAGAAUUUUAUUGUUGAUUCUUCUUACUUUUCAAUGAUGUCUUCUAAAAUCCAUUUUAACCAAACUGCUUGUGUGACAGCACGAUCUGCUACAAUGUAUUCAGCUUCAGCUAAUGAUAAUACCACUACACUCUACUUCUUUGGCAACUAUAACAAAGACCAGAUCUGAGUGAAAAAAUAUAUCUUGAUGUACUUCUCAUGUCAUCAACACAUCUGACCCAAUCACUAUCUAUAUAGUCGAUCAAUUUUGAAUUUUCUAUUGGUCUAUACCAUAUUUCAUAAUCUAUUGUAUUUUUAAUAUAUCUGAGCACUCUUUUUACAACUGUGAAGUUUAAUUGACACGGGUUGUAGGCUAACAACAAACAUGAUGUUUGAUCGUGUUGCAGUCAGAUAUAACAAACUUCCAACUAAACUCUUGUAGGUGGUUUCAUCUGUCAUCUUUACUCCAUCUUUUUUUAGCUUUUUAUUGGCCAUUAGGGGUGUUGUAACUGAUUUGCAAUCUUACAUAUUAAAUUUUUUCAAAAUAUUUUCUGCAUAUUUUUUCUGUGAUAUAAAGACGUCUAUAUAACCUUAGCAUACUUCUAUACCUAGAAAAUAAUGCAGCAAGCCAAGAUUAUUCAUCUCAUAUGUCUCCAUCAUAUUUUUUUUGAAUUCUCAAAGCAUUGUUUCAUUAUUGCAUGUGUAAAUUAAAUCAUCAACAUAGAAUGAGACAAUUAAAAUAUCAGUACCUAUUUUCUUGACAUAAAAAAUCGGCUCACUCUUGCUUUUUUGAAAUUCUUUUUGCGUGAAGUACUUGUUUAUCUCACCAUAUCAUGCUCUUGGUGCUUGCUUUAGGCCGUAUAGUGCUUUCUUUAGCUUGUAUACUUUGUUCUCUCCCCUUCAACUAAAAAUCCUUUUAUAUGUUCGACAUAAAUUUCUUCGUCAAGACAACCAUUCAAAAAGGCUGAUUUGACAUCAAGUUGAUAUAAUUGCCAACCUUUUUGAGCUAUCAGAGCAAUAAUAGUUCUAAUUACUUCUAGUCUUGCUGUAGGAGCAAAAGUCUCAUAAUAGUCAAUACCAUACUUUUGCUUAAAGUCUUUUGCCACGAGUCUUGUUUUAUAUUUCUAAACUGAUCAAUUUGGCUUCAAUUUUAUCUUAUAAAUCCAAUUAUGUAAUAUCUCGAACCCCAAUAUCGGUUGGUACGGACGUUAGCACAAUAUUUCCAACUAGUGGAACAAAUAAAUAUUAAAUAUGUAGCGGAACUAUACUUUAAUACACAUAUUUUGUAACCGCAUAAUUAUUUGUUUACACAUAAUUGAGGCAUCUAAAUUAAUUUACAAUAUUAAAAUAAAACUAAUAAAAUUUUCUUCGUCAUCUUCCUUUGAUGGAAUAUCCAAAUUAAUUUUAAUGUAAUUUAAAUUAAUUUAUGAAUAUAAUUUUUUUAAUUUUUUAUUUUAAUUUAAUGUAAAAAUAAAAGAAAAUAAGUGAAGUAUGAAAUUGAAAAUAAUUUUGGAAAAAAAAUGGGUGAAAAUUUGGGUUCUGGAGGUAUUUUUAAAAGAAAAAUCGAAAACUGGGGAUCAAAACGCAAUUUAAAAAAAUUGUGCUACGUAGGAUGCCCAGUCAGCAGCCCCGACGAACCAGAACGCGCCGCGUGGCAAGAGAUGCUAACGUGGUGCCAUAUGGGAGACCACAAAGGCGAUCCACAUGCCCGCGAUCAGAAGGCCCAGAUUCGCUCCUGCGCGCACCGACGGUCCGAAUGCGUUCUCUCUCCAAACGCAAUUGGACGGUCAGAUUUAAACACGAUCAACGGUCCAGAUUCACUCCAUAUUUAAUCGCGAUCGAACGGUCCAGAUUAAACACGAUAGACAGCCCAAAUUAAAAUGGGACGAAUAUAAAUAAUUUUCUUCACACCAAACCUUAAUCCUAGCUGUCAGACACCCUCGCUGGAGAAGAAGACCCAGCCGCCGGGAAGGGAAGCCGCCGACACCCCCCCGCCGCGCCGAAGCCACUUCCAACUGCCAAAAGAAGUAAACAUUUCCCUCUUUGCUUGGAAUUCAAUUGUAAAUACAUCCAUAGCCAAAUCGGAGUAAAAGAACCGGCAGAUUGGCUGAAAACCGCAGGUAAAGUCCGACGCGGCCGCCGUAAAAAAUUAUAAAAAUAGCCUCCAAUAAGGCCCUUCCCGAUUCCCGUUUUGCGUAAUUCUUCCACUAUUGUAAUCACAGUUUCCUUCUAUUAUUUGAUUUCUUACAUAUGUCACACUACAUAUUUGAACUCGAACCUACUUCUCUUUAAGUUUGGUUUUACUGCUUCUGCAUAUUCUGUUCGUCUUUUUUCUAAUAAUUUCUUAGAUUUUUCAAAGAAGUUUGAGUUUUAAAACUAGUGCUAAAAGCACUUUCAACAUAGUUGCUCCCACUCUGCAAUUUUCUUGUCUCGCGCGACUUUAACGAACUCAUCAAUUGCUGAAUUGUAAGAAUAGACAAAUCUUUCAAAUCUUCAAUUACUGCAACAAAAUAUUCAUAUUUUCUAGGUAAGCUAAUUAAAAGUUUUUCUAUUAUCUUUUAAUCAACAAUUUUUUCAUCAUAAUUUCGCAUCUGGUUCACGAUCUCGAUCACGUUCGAGAAAUACUCCUUUAUUUUUUCGAAUUCCUUCAUCUGUAAAAUUUAAAGUUGUUUGUGCAAGGUCUGUAACUUUACGGCAAUCACCUUUGCAGAUCCCUGAAACUCUUUUUGCAAUAUAUCUCAUGUUUCUUUCGAUCUAAUUACACCAAUUAUCCGAGAGAACAUACUCUCUGCAACACCUUGUUGUAUAAGAAACAAGGCUCUCACAUCCUUCAUCUGAUCUUCCUCCAACUUCUUUGUUUCUACUGGUGCUAGUUAAUGUCCGUCCAUAAACAAAUUGAGAAUAGUCAUUCUCAACUAUAUCCCACAACCUUUGUGAUCAUAGCAACGUUCGAAUUUUUAUCUUCCAUACAUCAUAAUUUUCACCAAAAAUGGAAACCAUUGUCUGCACCAUACUUACACCAACACCUGAAGCCAUCAAUUAAAAAUGUUUCUUCUUUCACGAACGUAAAUUCACUAAUUCGUUAACGUCCAUCCUUGAACCAAGUUUUGAUACCAAUUGUUGAAAAUAAACUGAAGAUAAAAAGGUUUUACUUAUGCAAAAAUAUAAAAUUUAAGAUAAUUAGAGAGAUAUAUUGAAAAUAGAAAAUAUAUUGUAUUCAAUCUAAAUGGGAUGCUAUUAUAAAACAAUACACAGCCUAUAUAGGCAGCAAAAAACCUUUAUUAAUUUUUCUAUUGGUAACUAUCCAUUUAUUUAUUUAAUGACUAUUAAAUUCUGUUAUUUUACUUUAAUUUAAAUUUUUUUGUGAUAGACAAUUUAUUUUUUUAACUAAUAAUUUAAUAAAAAUAUUGUCAUUAUUCUAAUUCUAAGCAAAAAAAUCAGACUUUGAUCACUCAACGAACGCAAGUUUUAUCAAGUUAUCAGGUCUUUUAGUCUGGUAAAGAUCUAGUCCGGUAUUUUUGUGAGACAAUUUAUUUUUAUAGCAUUAUAAGAUGUAUAGAUUAAUAAAGUAAUGAGAACUCAUUACCAUUUUAUUCCAUUCUUGUUUGAUUCUACGGACAAAACUCAAAAGACACUAUUAAUUUAAAAAACUUUGUCAAGGUUGAAGCUGUUGACAAAGUUGGUGGCAUCUGGGUUUUCAAUGUAAAUAGAAGGUUAAAUUCAAGAUCUUCUGAAUAAAUGGAUAGAUUAUCACAUUAAAUUCAUUUUGGACGAUGGCACCAACUUUCUUGCAGUGGUUUAUGCCAAUCCGCAGGAACUGGAGAGGCAUAUUUUGUAUGGGAAAAAUUGAUUCUAUCGUCUGAUUCUACAUAAUUACUUAUUGAAAUUCUAAUGCUACCAGGAGGUAUACGUGUUUGUCGGUAAAUUAAUCAGGUCAUAAUUUCACUUGCGUGAUUUAUGUUCUAAUCCAAGUGCAAAUGUGUGUGAAAAUGAUACUAUGCUAUUGUGGUAGAAAGCAAACACAGGCCACAAGGAAUAACAAGACUCAGUCGAUUGGUUGAGGCCAUCAAGUUUACAAGAAUUACCCUACUAAUGCCAUAUGGGCACCAAUGCACAAUGUCCUUACUAAAACUCUUUAGGAUUCCUUACCGUGAUGAGAUGAGAUAUAAGGAUAGCCAUGAAGGAAUAACUCCAAAAUUGUUUGAGAAAUGACAACAAUGAGUAGUCAUGAUCCAUUUCUAUGCCAAACUAGACCAUAGUUAAAGCUCCAACCAGCUCAAGGAUACAAAACAACUCCAACACAAAAAGAAAUUACUUGCCUUAUCUACAGCACAAUUCCAUUCAAUUUAUCCUGCCACACACCUUCAACCACAAGUAAUAAAUACUCAUUCAUAUUCUUCACCCAUAGUUAAAGCUCCAACCAGCUCAAGGAUACAAAACAACUCCCAACACAAAAAGAAAUUACUUGCCUUAUCUACAGCACAAUUCCAUUCAAUUUAUCCUGCCACACACCUUCAACCACAAGUAAUAAAUAUUGUUAUUCACAUAUAUUGACCAAAAAACCUAUAUCUCAAACAGAUUACACGAACGUAACUUUUACCCAACAAGGUCAGAGUCCUCAUUCCCAAACUCAAUAUAGCCCUAAUAUUUUAAUCCUAGCAUCUCAACUGACAAUUUGGAAGAGAGACAAAAUAUGGAAACAAGAGGCACUCAAAAUCCUCAAAGUAUCCCUCCUCCUCCCUCUCUUCCCCAGAUGAUUUAUCAGAGGGACAGGAAAUAUGUGAUCGAAUUUCAACUAAAGUGAAAACAUCAACACUGAACCGAGCCCAUCCACAUUUCCAACAGCCAUAUUCAUGUUUCGAGCAUGCCAAAAAGUUCUAACACAGCGUUACCCCAUUAAGAACUUUCAAAUUUUAAAUAUUACCUUGAAGCCCUGCCCAUUUAAACGUUCCAAUUUCAAAGAGACAUCCUAGAAGAAAUAUGAACUCAUUAUCUUAAAUUAUACCGCCUCUACUUUUAUCUCUACCUUGUCCUUCGCUGAAUUUUUAAAGUAUAUAGGAAUUAAGUGAAAAAGAAAAAAGCCAAAAGAUAGAGUCGAAGUAUUUCACACCCUGAACCAAAGGCUUACAUAUAUCAUCUAACAAUCAAACCCUGUGGAAAUACUAUGAUUGUAUCCAUUAUAAAAAAGGAAGUUAGAGUCUUCACCUAGUUGGAUAUGCCAAGCUACAAUCCCAGAAUGUUGGGGAAGCUUCUCUUGUGAUCCUUUGGACUCUAUCCGAGGACUUCUUCUCAGAAGAAAUCCCAGGUCACCCGUGAAUUUCCUCCUCUGUAAACCUGAAAUCCAAAUUCAAGAGGAUACCCUCGUCCCUUGAUGCCCUAAACCACCUCUUCUUCUCAAUCUCACUCUUUUCUCAUUCUUGAAGUUCAUAAGGCUUUCGUCUUUCGUAAAAGUUCUCCCUUUCACCUUCAUUGCCUCUUUUUCUUCUUAGAACCCUCUACGGUUUCUCUCAAGUUGCCCCCUCUGUCUGAUGUCCUUGGCUUUUAUAGGCAAGGCAUGGUUUACUAACGAAGCUUCCCCUGCUUUCCUCUUCCUUCUUGGCCUCAGUGGAGCGCAGAAGACGUCGAGCUUCGAGACUUCUUCCUCAACCUGGUCAAUUCCCUCUCUUCUUUUCGAUCGCUGCACAUCUUCUUUCUUUGGUUUCGAUAAUUUACGGUCAGAGCCUCAACCUUAUACCUUGCCGCUGUCUACCUCCAGCUCCUUCCUCGUGCAGCAUACGUUCACCAAAAUCAUGCUUGGUUCAAACCAUGCUAUCUCCUGCUUGCCUCUCUUCCUUCUUUGGUGCAAAAGGUUCAUGUGAAGAGACCACGGAACCCAGCUUCUCUUUGACAGUGCGGAUACGAGCCUCCUAGUAGGGAAGCUUGUCACCACCAAGCUUCAAGAGAAGCAUUCCCCUUCCAAUGAAACGAUGGCGUUUCACCGAGGGAUCCUUCUUCCUUUCUUUGUCUAAAACAAAAAGGCAUUAGGCCUUCGGGCCGGAUUUUAGAGGUUUCGCGAUGGGCGUUUUGAGCAAGUAGGAAUUGCAUGGGUUUGGUUGGGUUUAAGAGUUUAAAAGGGCUAACGGGGUGGGUUGGGGUUUUAAAUGGUUAUAAUUUUUUAU
RNAcentral lists this long non-coding RNA (8200 nucleotides) under Carica papaya (papaya). Its description in RNAcentral is "long non-coding RNA (CPAP_LNC010348)". The record is from RNAcentral. Lineage: Eukaryota; Viridiplantae; Streptophyta; Magnoliopsida; Brassicales; Caricaceae.